AAAGCAACUGCGAUUGCCCUAGUAACGGCGAGUGAAGCGGCAGCAGCCCAGAUUUGGAAUCUGGCCCCCUUGCGGGGCCCGAGUUGUAAUCUGCAGAGGAAGCGUCUGGCGCGGCGCCGGCCUAGUUCCCUGGAACGGGACGCCGUAGAGGGUGACAGCCCCGUACGGUCGGCCGCCAAGCCUGUGUGUCGCUCCUUCGAAGAGUCGCGUAGUUUGGGAAUGCUGCGCAAAGUGGGAGGUAUGCUCCUCCUAAGGCUAAAUACCGGCCAGAGACCGAUAGCGCACAAGUAGAGUGAUCGAAAGAUGAAAAGUACCUUGAAAAUGGGGUUAAACAGUACGUGAAAUUGCCAAAGGGGAAGCGCUCGUGGCCAGACUCGCGCCCGGCGGAUCAUCCGGCUCUCCCGCCGGUGCACUCUGCCGGGCUCGGGCCAGCGUCGGUCGGCGCCGGUACUAAAAGGCGGUGCGAACGUGGCUCCCUUCGGGGAGUGUUAUAGCGCGCCGCGUAAUGUGCUGGUGCCGUCCGAGGACCGCGCUUUAUGCAAGGACGCUGGCGUAAUGGCCACUAGCGGC
Molecule: ribosomal RNA, 570 nt
Filed under: [Papulaspora] funabasensis
Lineage: Eukaryota; Fungi; Ascomycota; Sordariomycetes; Coronophorales; Ceratostomataceae
Description: LSU rRNA
Rfam family: Eukaryotic large subunit ribosomal RNA
Source: RNAcentral